UUCAACUGUCAAAUCCUAAUAGGCGAUCAACUAUGUGUUUACGUCAAAUAUAAUCGACCACUGAAUGACCUAAGAAACUCAUUUCUUCUUUCAUUCAAUUGCCAUUGCCCUGGCCAAGGUCUUAGUUUGGUCGUUUAUAAUUCAUGACAACAUGGAGCUUAAACUCAUUACCAGGAGUUGACAGAUUCCGUCUUGAUCAAUCACUAAUUCUACAAGUAUUUAAUCGUACCCAAUAUCCUUUCAACUAUCGCCCUAGGGCCAUA
Molecule: long non-coding RNA, 263 nt
Filed under: Nicotiana benthamiana
Lineage: Eukaryota; Viridiplantae; Streptophyta; Magnoliopsida; Solanales; Solanaceae
Description: long non-coding RNA (NBEN_LNC003691)
Source: RNAcentral